GACGAACGCNGGCGGCGUGCUUAACACAUGCAAGUCGAACGAAGAGCGAUGGAAGCUUGCUUCUAUCAAUCUUAGUGGCGAACGGGUGAGUAACGCGUAAUCAACCUGCCCUUCAGAGGGGGACAACAGUUGGAAACGACUGCUAAUACCGCAUACGAUCUAAUCUCGGCAUCGAGGAUAGAUGAAAGGUGGCCUCUACAUGUAAGCUAUCACUGAAGGAGGGGAUUGCGUCUGAUUAGCUAGUUGGAGGGGUAACGGCCCACCAAGGCGAUGAUCAGUAGCCGGUCUGAGAGGAUGAACGGCCACAUUGGGACUGAGACACGGCCCAGACUCCUACGGGAGGCAGCAGUGGGGAAUCUUCCGCAAUGGACGAAAGUCUGACGGAGCAACGCCGCGUGAGUGAUGACGGCCUUCGGGUUGUAAAG
This 425-nucleotide ribosomal RNA is filed under the name uncultured bacterium. RNAcentral's name for it is "bacterial SSU rRNA". It matches the Rfam family "Bacterial small subunit ribosomal RNA", at positions 28 to 430 of the family's 1533-position model. The record is from RNAcentral.